CAUCUCUAUGACAACACUUCACACUGUUUUGUAAUAAUUUACAGAGUUGUCACCUCCAUCAGACAGUGAACUGAAGGAUGAGAGCAGUGCUAUAAUAAUUUUAGAAGAUCUCAGCCAUAAUUACUGCCUGCUAUACACAGUAGAAACUCAGAAAAUGAGACCCACCAGAGUGGAAGGAACAUGUCGUUUUCAUGCUCAAGUUCCUUCAGCAACUCCAUCAGAGAACAAAGCCCAAAGACAGCCUGUGAACACGGAAUUAAACCCAAGAGCCUAUGCCUGGAAGAAAAGAAAGAGAAUAAAGAUAUACGGGCCAGAAGGUCCUCCAGGACUUUACCUCUGAGCUUCCUGACAACCAAAAUAAAAAUGGUAUUGUACAACAUGGUGACUAUAGUUAAUAACAAUGUAAAAAAUACAAUAAGAAAAUAAAAUAAAAAUGGUAACAUAAUUUUUUCGGUAGGUUUUUCAAUGCUCAUGAAGAUAAAUCCUGACAGUUCUUAAGAAGAGGAGCAAAAUUUUACCUAGCACUCAGCUUUGGAAGACAUGUCCUACAUAAAACUUAAAAGGAACACAAGCAGUGUCGUAGAUGGCAAUGCUAACCACAGCUCAGUAUGAAAAGCAAGUGUGAGCCUCAAAAAGCAGUUUUUUCUGAUGCCGCAAUGGAAGUUUAGGGCAUAAUACUGAACCACAACUGAGUGAAAGUCAUCUAACUGAGGGAGAAAAAAAAUGUGUUGCUUGCACUGUUUCUUUAUCAUCUCCUUAGACUCCCAGCCCACAGUUCACUCAGGAAUAACAAGUGGAGGAUAUUAGAGUUUCCCAACCCUCCCCUUCCCACCAGACCUUUUCAAUUCCUGCCAUGUUUUCUUAAGCCCAUUGAGUGGCCAGUUUGUCAGUUUCAUUAACUUGGUUCUAACCAACAGGCACUUACAAAAUAUCUUGUCAAUGUUUCUUAAACACAGUUCCAACCGGAAACAUUUUUAUAUUUGUUUUUGGUUAGUUUUUAGGUUGUGAAAAUCCAAGACCUAUACUAUAUUAAGCUACUGGAGAGAAAGUGCUACUAUUCUAAGGAUGUAAGGGCAGGCUGCUGGACAAGAGAUGGGAAAGAACUGGAGUGUUGAGCUGCUCAUCUCCUCUGGGUCUGUCUCUCCUCUUUCCAAGCCUCAGUUUCUCUCUGCAUAGCUGCUCCUUUUCCUCCAUCUUUCUCUAUUUCCUCACCCCCUGUAGUCAAUAUCUUGUCUCCUUCUUCAGUGUACAUGUCAGAAUUUGCUGGCCAGGGCCCGAAAGGAACUUUCUGACUUCCUGCACAUGGCCGUGGUGUCUCCGUAUUUCUCAACUCAGAGCACCAGGAAAAUCUGACUGACCCAGCUUAGCUACACAAGCUGGGUCUCGCAAAUCGUGUAUCUCUGGUAGGCUGCUUCUGCACACCUCUGGGCCAACCGUGAGCCGUCGUGGUGAGACACGGAGAAACACACUGCACAUCUGGUCUCUAUCAACAAAGUGCUAAUCUCUACCUAGACAUUAGAAGAAAGGAUGAUCCACAUCAGAAAGCCCCUCCCAAAAGAGGGAUCAGUUAGAGAAGCUGUGGCAUUAUGGAACAUAAGGUGCAGAACCUGAAGCCAGAAGGAUCUUUCAGAACCUUUUACAUCUCACUGUGAAUGAGGCUGCUGCCAAUGUUAUCCAUGCAUAAGGCAUAUGCUUUAAGAGGAAUAAUUAAGCUUAUUCUAUCCAUGCCCAUUUAUUUAUCCUUUUGGUAAUAAACUGUUCCUUAAUUCAUCCUGUCAUGUGUUAGAACGACUGUGCUGGCGUGGAGAAAUAGAUUGUAUUUGAAUUACUGGAUCAUUUUCACUUGGCUCUUUGUUCAAAUAAUCUUCUUUUGUUUUCAAAUAAUUAUAAAUUAUAGAAGAACCAUUUCAUUAAAACCUUAAUGUGAGGAGAAACCAGUGUUAAUCUGUAAAUAUAUACAUAUUUCUUUA
This 1970-nucleotide long non-coding RNA is filed under the name Macaca mulatta (Rhesus monkey). RNAcentral describes it as "lncRNA (ENSMMUG00000059994.1)". The record is from RNAcentral. Lineage: Eukaryota; Metazoa; Chordata; Mammalia; Primates; Cercopithecidae.